ACAUGCAAGUCGAACGGGGACCUUCAGUGUAGCAUUACAUCAUAUGUCCUAGUGGCGCAGGGGUGAGUAACACGUGGGUAACUUGCCCUUGAGUUCGGGAUACCCUCUCGAAGGGGAGGCUAAUACCGGAUACGUUCCUCGGGUUGCGAAAUCUGGGGAGGAAAGGUGGCGAAAGCUGCCGCUCUUGGAGAGGCUCGCGGCCUAUCAACUAGUUGGUGAGGUAACGGCUCACCAAGGCUAUGACGGGUAGCUGGUCUGAGAGGACGACCAACCACACGGGAAAUGAGACACGGUCCCGACUCCUACGGGAGGCAGCACUGGGGAAUUUUCCGCAAUGGGCGAAAGCCUGACGGAGUGACGCCGCGUGGGGGACGAAGGCCUUCGGGUUGUAAACCCCUGUCAGAGGGAAAGAAGGGUGUCGGCGCGAUAACCGACGGCAUCUGACGGUACCUUCAGAGGAAGCCCCGGCCAACUCUGUGCCAGCAGCCGCGGUAAGACAGAGGGGGCAAGCGUUGCUCGGAAUCACUGGGCGUAAAGGGCGCGUAGGCGGGAUGGCAAGUCAGUCGUGAAAUCUCUCGGCUCAACCGAGAAACGUCGGCUGAUACUGCCGUUCUUGAGGGAUGCAGAGGAGACUGGAAUUCCCGGUGUAGCGGUGAAAUGUGUAGAGAUCGGGAGGAACACCGGUGGCGAAGGCGGGUCUCUGGGCAUCUCCUGACGCUGAGGCGCGAAAGCCUGGGGAGCAAACGGGAUUAGAUACCCCGGUAGUCCACGCCGUAAACGAUGACGACUAGGUGUGGGGUGGUUCAGUCCAUUCCGUGCCGCAGCUAACGC
RNAcentral lists this ribosomal RNA (831 nucleotides) under uncultured bacterium. RNAcentral's name for it is "bacterial SSU rRNA". It matches the Rfam family "Bacterial small subunit ribosomal RNA", at positions 53 to 858 of the family's 1533-position model. The record is from RNAcentral.